AUUGAACGCUGGCGGCAUGCUUUACACAUGCAAGUCGAACGGCAGCGCGGGCUUCGGCCUGGCGGCGAGUGGCGAACGGGUGAGUAAUACAUCGGAACGUGCCCAGUAGUGGGGGAUAGCUCGGCGAAAGCCGGAUUAAUACCGCAUACGACCUGAGGGUGAAAGCGGGGGAUCUUCGAACCUCGCGCUAUUGGAGCGGCCGAUGGCAGAUUAGCUAGUUGGUGGGGUAAAGGCCUACCAAGGCGACGAUCUGUAGCUGGUCUGAGAGGACGACCAGCCACACUGGGACUGAGACACGGCCCAGACUCCUACGGGAGGCAGCAGUGGAGAAUUUUGGACAAUGGGCGAAAGCCUGAUCCAGCAAUGCCGCGUGUGUGAUGAAGGCCUUCGGGUUGUAAAGCACUUUUGGCGGGAACGAAAAGGACUGUGCCAAUACCACGGUUCGAUGACGGUACCCGCAGAAUAAGCACCGGCUAACUACGUG
Molecule: ribosomal RNA, 484 nt
Filed under: uncultured bacterium
Lineage: Bacteria
Description: partial 16S ribosomal RNA
Rfam family: Bacterial small subunit ribosomal RNA
Source: RNAcentral